RNAcentral lists this ribosomal RNA (498 nucleotides) under uncultured bacterium. Its description in RNAcentral is "partial 16S ribosomal RNA". It matches the Rfam family "Bacterial small subunit ribosomal RNA", at positions 28 to 507 of the family's 1533-position model. The record is from RNAcentral.
GACGAACGCUGGCGGCGUGCCUAAUACACGCAAGUCGAGCGGACGGAUGGGAGCUUGCUCCCAGACCGUCAGCGGCGGACGGGUGAGUAACACGUGGGCAACCUGCCUGUAAGACUGGGAUAACUCCGGGAAACCGGGGCUAAUACCGGAUAACUCUUUCCCUCACAUGAGGGAAAGCUGAAAGAUGGCAUCUCGCUAUCACUUACAGAUGGGCCCGCGGCGCAUUAGCUAGUUGGUGAGGUAACGGCUCACCAAGGCGACGAUGCGUAGCCGACCUGAGAGGGUGAUCGGCCACACUGGGACUGAGACACGGCCCAGACUCCUACGGGAGGCAGCAGUAGGGAAUCUUCCGCAAUGGACGAAAGUCUGACGGAGCAACGCCGCGUGAGUGAUGAAGGUUUUCGGAUCGUAAAACUCUGUUGUCAGGGAAGAACAAGUACCGGAGUAACUGCCGGUACCUUGACGGUACCUGACCAGAAAGCCACGGCUAACUACGUG